Molecule: long non-coding RNA, 2532 nt
Filed under: Sinocyclocheilus grahami
Lineage: Eukaryota; Metazoa; Chordata; Actinopteri; Cypriniformes; Cyprinidae
Description: lncRNA (ENSSGRG00000011777.1)
Source: RNAcentral
AUGAAAGCACACAACGUCAGAUCUAUAACAACAUCCAACAGCUACUCACAGGUAACACACACACACACACACACACACACUCACACUCACACACUCACUCUCACUCUCACUCUCACUCUCACACUCACACUCACUCUCACUCUCACUCUCACUCACACACACACACUCACACACUCACUCUCACUCUCACUCUCACUCUCACACUCACACUCACUCUCACUCUCACUCUCACUCACACACACACACUCACACACUCACUCUCACUCUCACUCUCACUCUCACACUCACACUCACUCUCACUCUCACUCUCACUCACACACACACACUCACACACUCACUCUCACUCUCACUCUCACUCUCACACUCACACUCACUCUCACUCUCACUCUCACUCACACACACACACUCACACACUCACUCUCACUCUCACUCUCACUCUCACACUCACACUCACUCUCACUCUCACUCUCACUCACACACACACACUCACACACUCACUCUCACUCUCACUCUCACUCUCACACUCACACUCACUCUCACUCUCACUCUCACUCACACACACACACUCACACACUCACUCUCACUCUCACUCUCACUCUCACACUCACACUCACUCUCACUCUCACUCUCACUCACACACACACACUCACACACUCACUCUCACUCUCACUCUCACUCUCACACUCACACUCACUCUCACUCUCACUCUCACUCACACACACACACUCACACACUCACUCUCACUCUCACUCUCACUCUCACACUCACACUCACUCUCACUCUCACUCUCACUCACACACACACACUCACACACUCACUCUCACUCUCACUCUCACUCUCACACUCACACUCACUCUCACUCUCACUCUCACUCACACACACACACUCACACACUCACUCUCACUCUCACUCUCACUCUCACACUCACACUCACUCUCACUCUCACUCUCACUCACACACACACACUCACACACUCACUCUCACUCUCACUCUCACUCUCACACUCACACUCACUCUCACUCUCACUCUCACUCACACACACACACUCACACACUCACUCUCACUCUCACUCUCACUCUCACACUCACACUCACUCUCACUCUCACUCUCACUCACACACACACACUCACACACUCACUCUCACUCUCACUCUCACUCUCACACUCACACUCACUCUCACUCUCACUCUCACUCACACACACACACUCACACACUCACUCUCACUCUCACUCUCACUCUCACACUCACACUCACUCUCACUCUCACUCUCACUCACACACACACACUCACACACUCACUCUCACUCUCACUCUCACUCUCACACUCACACUCACUCUCACUCUCACUCUCACUCACACACACACACUCACACACUCACUCUCACUCUCACUCUCACUCUCACACUCACACUCACUCUCACUCUCACUCUCACUCACACACACACACUCACACACUCACUCUCACUCUCACUCUCACUCUCACACUCACACUCACUCUCACUCUCACUCUCACUCACACACACACACUCACACACUCACUCUCACUCUCACUCUCACUCUCACACUCACACUCACUCUCACUCUCACUCUCACUCACACACACACACUCACACACUCACUCUCACUCUCACUCUCACUCUCACACUCACACUCACUCUCACUCUCACUCUCACUCACACACACACACUCACACACUCACUCUCACUCUCACUCUCACUCUCACACUCACACUCACUCUCACUCUCACUCUCACUCACACACACACACUCACACACUCACUCUCACUCUCACUCUCACUCUCACACUCACACUCACUCUCACUCUCACUCUCACUCACACACACACACUCACACACUCACUCUCACUCUCACUCUCACUCUCACACUCACACUCACUCUCACUCUCACUCUCACUCACACACACACACUCACACACUCACUCUCACUCUCACUCUCACUCUCACACUCACACUCACUCUCACUCUCACUCUCACUCACACACACACACUCACACACUCACUCUCACUCUCACUCUCACUCUCACACUCACACUCACUCUCACUCUCACUCUCACUCACACACACACACUCACACACUCACUCUCACUCUCACUCUCACUCUCACACUCACACUCACUCUCACUCUCACUCUCACUCACACACACACACUCACACACUCACUCUCACUCUCACUCUCACUCUCACACUCACACUCACUCUCACUCUCACUCUCACUCACACACACACACUCACACACUCACUCUCACUCUCACUCUCACUCUCACACUCACACUCACUCUCACUCUCACUCUCACUCACACACACACACUCACACACUCACUCUCACUCUCACUCUCACUCUCACACUCACACUCACUCUCACUCUCACUCUCACUCACACACACACACUCACACACUCACUCUCACUCUCACUCUCACUCUCACACUCACACUCACUCUCACUCUCACUCUCACUCACACACACACACACACACACACACAGGUUUGUUUUUAUGGUUAUGGGGACUCUCCAUA